UGUGGGAGGGGGCUUGCUCCCGAUUGCGUUGUGUCAGUCGCCUAUGUAUCGACUGAUGCACUGCCAUCGGGGGCAAGCCCCCUCCCACA
Molecule: non-coding RNA, 89 nt
Filed under: Pseudomonas sp. SJZ094
Lineage: Bacteria; Pseudomonadati; Pseudomonadota; Gammaproteobacteria; Pseudomonadales; Pseudomonadaceae
Also listed under: 1 other name
Source: RNAcentral